AACGAACGCUGGCGGCAGGUCUUAGGCAUGCAAGUCGAACGGAUGUAGCAAUACAUCAGUGGCGCACGAGUGAGUAACGCGUGGGAAGCUGCCCUUCACUGGGGAAUAACGUUUGGAAACGAACGCUAAUACCGCAUACGCCCGCAAGGGGAAAGAUUUAUCGGUGAAGGAUGCGCCCGCGUUGGAUUAGCUUGUUGGUGGGGUAACGGCCUACCAAGGCGAUGAUCCAUAGCUGGUCUGAGAGGACGAUCAGCCACGCUGGAACUGAGACACGGUUCAGACUCCUACGGGAGGCAGCAGCUAAGAAUAUUGGACAAUGGGGGAAACCCUGAUCCAGCCAUGCCGCGUGAAUGAAGAAGGCCUUCGGGUUGUAAGUUCUUUUAGUCGUGAAGAUGAUGACAGUAGCGACAGAAAAGACAACCGGCUAACUUCGUGCCAGCAGCCGCGGUAAAGUACUCUAU
This 461-nucleotide ribosomal RNA is filed under the name uncultured bacterium. RNAcentral's name for it is "bacterial SSU rRNA". It matches the Rfam family "Bacterial small subunit ribosomal RNA", at positions 29 to 533 of the family's 1533-position model. The record is from RNAcentral.